GACGUAGGGGGCGAGCGUUGUCCGGAUUCAUUGGGCGUAAAGAGCGCGUAGGCGGCCCGGAAAGUGGGGUGUGAAAACCCGGGGCUCAACCCCGGGCCGCAUUCGAUACGGGCAGACUGGAGUACUGCAGGGGAGACUGGAAUUCCUGGUGUAGCGGUGGAAUGCGCAGAUAUCAGGAGGAACACCGGUGGCGAAGGCGGGUCUCUGGGCAGUAACUGACGCUGAGGAGCGAAAGCGUGGGGAGCGAACAGG
This 252-nucleotide ribosomal RNA is filed under the name uncultured bacterium. RNAcentral's name for it is "partial 16S ribosomal RNA". It matches the Rfam family "Bacterial small subunit ribosomal RNA", at positions 524 to 776 of the family's 1533-position model. The record is from RNAcentral.